CAAGCAAAGUGUAACUUAAGUUUGCACCCCCGAAACUAAGUGAGCUACUUUAAAACAGCCAUAAGGGCCAACUCGUCUCUGUCGCAAAAGAGUGAGAAGAUUUUUAAGUAGAAGUGACAAGCCUACCGAACUUAGAGAUAGCUGGUUAUUUGGGAAAAGAAUAUAAGUUCUGCCUUAAGUUUUUAAUAACACCCAAUCUCCAAGUAGCUUAAGAGUUAUUCAAAUAAGGUACAGCCUAUUUGAAACAGGAUACAACCUAAAACAUAGGGUAAUAUAAAUUCACCAUAUAAUUAAGUUGGCCUAAAGGCAGCCACCUUUUAAAAAGCGUCAAAGCUUAGUUUUAUAAUUAUAAUAAUAACAAUAAAAACACUAAACCCAUCUCCAGUACCAAAUUACUUUAUAAUACUAUAAAAAAUAUAAUGCUAAAACUAGUAAUAAGAAAAUGAUUUUCUCCUAAAUACAAGUGUAACGCAGAAUAAACUAACCACUGCUAAUUACUGUCCUUAGUUUAAUAGUAGUAACAGCACUAGAAAACUCUACUACACUUAACAUUAAUCUAACACAAGAGUAUUACAGGAAAGAUU
This 584-nucleotide ribosomal RNA is filed under the name Tachycnemis seychellensis. RNAcentral describes it as "partial 16S ribosomal RNA". It matches the Rfam family "Bacterial large subunit ribosomal RNA", at positions 684 to 1680 of the family's 2925-position model. Lineage: Eukaryota; Metazoa; Chordata; Amphibia; Anura; Hyperoliidae. The record is from RNAcentral.